RNAcentral lists this long non-coding RNA (210 nucleotides) under Elaeis guineensis (African oil palm). RNAcentral describes it as "long non-coding RNA (EGUI_LNC043121)". Lineage: Eukaryota; Viridiplantae; Streptophyta; Magnoliopsida; Arecales; Arecaceae. The record is from RNAcentral.
CAUAUAACAAGCCCAUGCUUGGAUAUCAUAAAUGGUUAAAUUUAAAUAAUUUUUAUGACGAAGACAUUAAGAUUUAAAUAGAAAAAAUAUAUUAGAAACUAUAUAAUUGUAUAUUUAGUUAUAUAUCAAUUAUGUAUAAAAUAGAUUUCAGAUGUUUAUAUAAAUCAAAAAAUUAAAAUAAUAUUUAUUAUAAUUUUAAUAAUAUAGAGG